UACGUAGGGCGCAAGCGUUGUCCGGAAUUAUUGGGCGUAAAGAGCUCGUAGGCGGCUUGUCACGUCGGGUGUGAAAGCCCGGGGCUUAACCCCGGGUCUGCAUUCGAUACGGGCUAGCUAGAGUGUGGUAGGGGAGAUCGGAAUUCCUGGUGUAGCGGUGAAAUGCGCAGAUAUCAGGAGGAACACCGGUGGCGAAGGCGGAUCUCUGGGCAUUACCUGACGCUGAGGAGCGAAAGUGUGGGGAGCGAACAGG
RNAcentral lists this ribosomal RNA (253 nucleotides) under uncultured bacterium. Its description in RNAcentral is "partial 16S ribosomal RNA". It matches the Rfam family "Bacterial small subunit ribosomal RNA", at positions 524 to 776 of the family's 1533-position model. The record is from RNAcentral.